This 673-nucleotide long non-coding RNA is filed under the name Oryctolagus cuniculus (rabbit). Its description in RNAcentral is "lncRNA (ENSOCUG00000038847.1)". Lineage: Eukaryota; Metazoa; Chordata; Mammalia; Lagomorpha; Leporidae. The record is from RNAcentral.
AUGUGUUUUGUAUUCUCAGCCAAAAUGCUAACAAUAGCACACAACACGGUGACAAGUAGAAGUACAAGGGCCACUGAGUGUGACUAUUUCCCCAAUAUAUCAUGGCGACACAAACAUCUGUUACUAAAUAGCAGGGAUGGUCUAUGGCACUCUUGCAGGAUGUCACAAGCACCAUUGAAGAUUCAAGGAGUAAAGCGGAAGGGAGAAAUGGCAGUGAUCAUCUAUAAACUCAGAACAAUGUUCAGUGAUCACUUGUCUCAAAAGGGGAUAGACCACAGCAUGAUCCCUCCAGAGAAAUGCACUGCAAAAUGCAAGAAGAAAUGCAACCAAGGAGUGAGAGAGAACUGGACCCAAUGUUUUUCAAAAGAGUCACAGAGAAAAAUUAACAGGGGCUGUAACCAGCAAGAUUGCUUCAGAAAAUAAACGGGAAUUGCUGUUCAGAAGAGUCCUUGGUGAGCAGAGCAAGGAGGAGGAAGGGGGAGAGGGGAGGAGACUGGAGGAAGAGGCGGAAAUCAAAAGGGAAGCACUGGAAAGGAAGAGACAAAGGGCACCUGUGUUUUACAUAUGUGGAGAGAGAAAAGCAAUACAAUCAGCAUGCUUUAUUUUCAUGUGCUCAAGCCAUUACAUCACACAGGAGAGGUAUAAUAAACUGUACUAGCGAGUGGUUAGGUCA